Molecule: long non-coding RNA, 1789 nt
Filed under: Homo sapiens (human)
Lineage: Eukaryota; Metazoa; Chordata; Mammalia; Primates; Hominidae
Description: HSALNT0303031
Source: RNAcentral
AUGUGGUACAUAAACACAAUGGAAUACUAUUCAGCCUUUAAAAAGAAGGAAAUCCUGUCAUUUGCAACCACAUGGAUCAAUCUGAAGGAUAUUUUGUUAAGGCCGUAUGCAGUGGCUCAACGCCUGCAAUCCCAGAACUUUGGGAGGCCGAGGCAGGUGGAUCACUUGAGGAAAUCCAAGCUAAUUCCUGUGCCAAAGGCUGGCUUAAGAGAGGGCCCACAAUGCAAUUCUGGCCUGUCUUCCUCUGCUGGAUGUCACCUUAUUUGAACUGGACACUUAGAACCAUGACAGCCAUCUGUGUCUAUGAGGGAGUGAGCCAGAGAACCAAGCUGACAUGUUGAAUAUGGACUUCUUUAAGGGCAUGAUGGCAAACAUCCUCAUUGUGUAAGUCGAAUAAGCCAGGGUUUUCUGUGUUUUGCACCUGAAAAAACCUUAAUUGAUAGACUAUAUUUGUCACCAUUAUAGAAGUGAAAUGUCAUUGUCUAGGUUGAUCAGUUUGUCCCUGUUUGCAUGGGGCUUUUCAAGUCUCAAAACUAGAGUCCCAUAUCCCAGGAACCCCGUUAGUCCCUAGAAAACCUGGACUACCUGUUGCCCCUACAUUAUAGAUACUUCUGCAACUUUUAUUUCACAUGUAUCUUGCAUGUCUUUCCAUAUUAAUAUAUAAAGACCCAUAUUGUUACUUUGGGGCUUUCUAGAAUUCCUUUGGAUGGAUCAUUUUGUGUCAGGAAUUGGUGGGUUCUUGGUCUACUGACUUCAAGAAUGAAGCCGCGGACCCUCGUGGAAUGGGAUUGGCAGCAAACAACUGUAUACCUGACUAACAGUGGCCUGAACAAAUAACGACAUAAUUUUCUCACCUUAUGAGAAGGCUGGAGGUAAGUGGCUGCUUGUAUUGGUUCAGAAGCUCAGUGGUGUUGGGACUGACACCACUGUGAUUCUCUUUGCCUUUCCCCCAUGGUUUCAAAAUGAUGGCUGUAUCCACGUUCAAGGAAGGAAGAAGAAAGUGCUGCAGUUCCAUUUUAUUGGGAAAGCAAAUGCUUUCCCAGAAACUUCACCAGAUUAUGCUUAUAUCUCAUUGGCUAGAACCACGUCACAUGGCCACCCCUAGCUGCAAGGGAGGCUGGAUGAAAGCUACUCCAUCAUCUUGAAUCCUGGAGUGAAGAUGAGAUGGGGAAGAACUAAGCUGACCUUUGAUGAACAGACGGCAUGAGCGUAAAAUGAACCUUUAUUGUAAGUCAGUGAGGCUGGCGGGGGCAUGUUAAUGACUGUGGCAUGCCCUUGACUGAUUAUAUUCUUCACUGACAUGCUGCCUAGCAUGCAGAGGCCAUGCGACCCUUGGGGAGGCUCCUACUUGCCUUGGAAAAGUAGCUCCUCCUCUUCUCAAAUGUAAUAAUGGAAACCUUACAUGGGUGGAUCCAGGGGUAAAGCUCUUUGUGGUGUAUAGCAACAGAAUGUUAAGUCAAAGUGGUUGUCAACAAAGUUUAUCGAACAGCAGCUAUAUUUUUUAUAAUGAACACUGGUUUGCCUGGAACCUUGAAGUAACCAUGAAUUUUUCCUAGACCCUAAUACUAUCAGAAAGAAACAAAUCACCCAACAAUAAGAUCAGUAACUAAAACCAACAAAUCCCAAAGGCAUCUCACAGUGCUGGCAUAUGUCUCUGCCAUAGCUCAUGCUCAUAAACUGCAAUGAGCCAACCCUGGCAUCAUGAAGGACCCCGAUUUUAAAAAUGGGUAAAGAAGUUCUGAAAGCCUGGGCAACAUAGUGAGACCAUUCUCUUAAAAAAAAAAAAUUA